This 531-nucleotide ribosomal RNA is filed under the name uncultured bacterium. Its description in RNAcentral is "partial 16S ribosomal RNA". It matches the Rfam family "Bacterial small subunit ribosomal RNA", at positions 355 to 900 of the family's 1533-position model. The record is from RNAcentral.
UGGGGAAUAUUGCACAAUGGGCGAAAGCCUGAUGCAGCAACGCCGCGUGAGUGAUGAAGGUCUUCGGAUUGUAAAGCUCUGUCUUUUGGGACGAUAAUGACGGUACCAAAGGAGGAAGCCACGGCUAACUACGUGCCAGCAGCCGCGGUAAUACGUAGGUGGCGAGCGUUGUCCGGAUUUACUGGGCGUAAAGGGUGCGUAGGCGGAUGUUUAAGUGAGAUGUGAAAUACCCGGGCUUAACUUGGGUGCUGCAUUUCAAACUGGAUAUCUAGAGUGCAGGAGAGGAGAAUGGAAUUCCUAGUGUAGCGGUGAAAUGCGUAGAGAUUAGGAAGAACACCAGUGGCGAAGGCGAUUCUCUGGACUGUAACUGACGCUGAGGCACGAAAGCGUGGGUAGCAAACAGGAUUAGAUACCCUGGUAGUCCACGCCGUAAAACGAUGAGUACUAGGUGUAGGAGGUAUCGACCCCUUCUGUGCCGCAGUAAACACAUUAAGUACUCCGCCUGGGAAGUACGAUCGCAAGAUUAAAAAC